Molecule: ribosomal RNA, 497 nt
Filed under: uncultured bacterium
Lineage: Bacteria
Description: partial 16S ribosomal RNA
Rfam family: Bacterial small subunit ribosomal RNA
Source: RNAcentral
GAUGAACGCUGGCGGCGUGCCUAAUACGUGCAAGUCGAGCGAACGGACGAGAAGCUUGCUUCUCUGAUGUUAGCGGCGGACGGGUGAGUAACACGUGGAUAACCUACCUAUAAGACUGGGAUAACUUCGGGAAACCGGAGCUAAUACCGGAUGAUAUUUUGAACCGCAUGGUUCAAAAGUGAAAGACGGUCUUGCUGUCACUUAUAGAUGGAUCCGCGCUGCAUUAGCUAGUUGGUAAGUUAACGGCUUACCAAGGCAACGAUGCAUAGCCGACCUGAGAGGGUGAUCGGCCACACUGGAACUGAGACACGGUCCAGACUACUACGGGAGGCAGCAGUAGGGAAUCUUCCGCAAAGGGCGAAAGCCUGACGGAGCAACGCCGCGUGAGUGAUGAAGGUCUUCGGAUCGUAAAACUCUGUUAUUAGGGAAGAACAUAUGUGUAAGUAACUGUGCACAUCUUGACGGUACCUAAUCAGAAAGCCACGGCUAACUACGUG